This 506-nucleotide long non-coding RNA is filed under the name Brassica napus (rape). RNAcentral describes it as "long non-coding RNA (BNAP_LNC000011)". Lineage: Eukaryota; Viridiplantae; Streptophyta; Magnoliopsida; Brassicales; Brassicaceae. The record is from RNAcentral.
CCCAUCAAUCAAUCAUCCCGACUCCACUUAUUAGUAUUAGCUAAAGUUGAGUAGUAAACCAUCUCAUCUCACCUUGUAUACGGCGGCGGACAGAAGAUGAUGACGUAGUCUGCUCCGGUGGCGCAAGUGUAGGUGCUCGUCUUGUCGUCAUACGCGUAGCUGUAGGCGCGUGGACAAGCGUGCUUGAAGAAGAGCGAGUAUACCGAAGGCUGACACGUGUCAGGCGUCCAUCAAUCAAUCAUCCCGACUCCACUUAUUAUUAUUAGCUAAAGUUCAGUAGUACCAUCUCAUCUCACCUUGUAUACGGCGGCGGACAGAAGAUGAUGACGUAGUCUGCUCCGGUGGCGCAAGUGUAGGUGCUCGUCUUGUCGUCAUACGCGUAGCUGUAGGCGCGUGGACAAGCGUGCUUGAAGAAGAGCGAGUAUACCGAAGGCUGACACGUGUCAGGCGUGGCGUAAGCAUCGCUGCAGCAAUACCGCGGGUCUCCGAACGCCUCGCAGGCGCUG